AGCCUGAACGCUGGCGGCGUGGCUAAGACAUGCAAGUCGCACGGUGUAGCAAUACACAGUGGCGAACGGGUGAGUAAUGAAUCGCUAAUGUACCCCGGACUCUGGGAUAGCUACCCGAAAGGGUAGGUAAUACCAGAUGAGACCACGGCAUCGCAUGAUGUUGUGCUCAAAGGUCCGCCGGUCUGGGAGCAGGCGAUUUCGUAUCAGCUAGUUGGUGAGGUAAUGGCUCACCAAGGCGACGACGCGUAGCCGGACUGAGAGGUUGGCCGGCCACAUUGGGACUGAGACACUGCCCAGACUCCUACGGGGGGCUGCAGUAA
This 320-nucleotide ribosomal RNA is filed under the name uncultured soil bacterium. RNAcentral's name for it is "bacterial SSU rRNA". It matches the Rfam family "Bacterial small subunit ribosomal RNA", at positions 26 to 357 of the family's 1533-position model. The record is from RNAcentral.